UUAAGUUCAGCGGGUAUUCCUACCCGAUCCGAGGUCAAACUUGUGUUCGGUCAGCGACCGAUGCGAACGCGCAAGGCAGGGCGGUGCGAGCUUCGCGCCAGUAAGUAGUUACGGCACCUGCUGCAGCACUCCCAUUUACUAAUCAAUAGCCGACGCAUUUGGGGUCCGGGAUGGUCCCGGGGCCCAAUACCAAGCCAGGC
Molecule: unclassified non-coding RNA, 200 nt
Filed under: Capnodiales sp.
Lineage: Eukaryota; Fungi; Ascomycota; Dothideomycetes; Capnodiales
Description: partial internal transcribed spacer 2
Source: RNAcentral